GAACAGGCCAACCCAAGAAUCUUCAUGGACAACUGGCUGGGAAUCCUGAGACUGGGAAAGUAAUACUUGCAUCAGUUUGGCCUUGAAUCUAGAAGGGCAAUGGUGAAAGACUUAAGGCCAGCGUUCCAGAGUGGGUAAGAUGAGCAUGUAUUCCAGCUCUGAGUUGGUUUUAUAGGCAUGCAAGGAGAACAAUGGUGGGUUUUUAAAAUUUGUUUUAAGUGUUUCUUUAGAUUUCUUACUUCUUCCAGAAUAUUUGGGUUUUGCAGUAUGGUGAAACAAAUGUUCUCAAUCUGGAUUCUUAUCAGUGACAUUAUCCCAUUUUGUGCUGGGUAAUUCUUUCUUGCAGAGGUGCAAUUUGGAUGUUUAGCAGCUCCCUGGCCUUGUGAUACCCUAGCUAUGAUAACCACAACAUUCCCAGCAUCAUCAAAUAUCUUCUUGGGGGAAAAAUUUUCCUCCUGCUUGAGAAGCAUUUUGUUGCUAAUGGUUCCUAUUAGGUUGGAAAUAGUUCAGUAAAAGUCAAUAUUUUAUUAAAUGCUGAUUACCUGUCAGGUCUUGUUUUUGUUGAUAUUAUUAUUUAGUACCAGGAUGUCUUGCUAAGUUGUUUAGGGCCUCACUAAGUUGCUGGGGCUGGAUUUUGAACUUGUGAUCCUUCUGCCUCAGCCCUCUGAGUUGCUGAGAUUACCGGUUGGGCACCACCAUGCUGGGCAGGCCUUGUGUUAUUUAAUUUAAUCCUUAUAAGAAUCAUCAGAAUUAAAUCCUAUACUUUCAUCAUCUCAUUUUCACAGGCGAGGAACUGAAAAGGAGUUAAAUAACUUUCAUGACUGCACAUCGGCAAGUGGCAGACUCAGCACUAAAUAUAGAGGGUCUGACAUCACAAGUGUCACCCUUCAUUAAUCUCCUAAAUGGAGUAAAAAACAGAAUUAUUGAUUUAUAAAAUAAUAAUUCACAGACAUCAGUGUACAUAAUUUUCUGAAUCAACAAUAAAACAGAAGGGAAAGAGAUGGUACAACAUUGUCAGAGGAAUAUUAAAUCAUUUUUUCAUUCCUUUAUCACAUAUUUACUGUUUAUAGGGAUACAGAAAUGUAUGCAACAAAGUUUCUGCUCUCUAAAGCUUACUUACAUUAUUUUAGGAACAAAAGAAAAAAUUCGUAUGUAAUAUUUCAUAUAUUAAUGUGUUACAGAGAAAAUAAAACAUGUUAAAAGAGGAUACAAAGGUCACGAGGCUUCUGAUAUGGUGACAUUGAGCAAUGAGGGAACAGCAUUGUGAAUGAAGUGCAGACGAGGUAGGGAAUUUACUCCAGGUGAUGAGAACAGCCAGGACAAGGUCCUGAUGCAGGAGCAUAUUUGAAGUGGAAGUGAACUUGCUACACGCUAAGGGGAAAGCAAGGAGUCAACGCAACCAGAACAGAGAGAGUGAAGAGGAACAGGAGAAGGGAUAGAGAGGCAAGGCCAGGAGGCAGGGGGGUAACAUGGACCCUGUAAGUCCCAUUAGGCCAUGUAAAUGAUGUCAACUUCUACUCUGACUGAGAUAAAAAUCUAUUAGAAAAAGAAAUGCCACGAUCUGACAAUUUUUCAAAGAAUCAUGCGGAUGUUUUCCCCUGUUUGGGAAAUGGUUUAUCACCAUGAAUGACCAUGAAUUCUGGAAUGAGGCUGGCCUCUUUUUUUUUUUUUAAGUGUUAUCUCUAAGAUCUCACUCCCUUUGGACUUUGGAACAAAUGACUUAACUUUCUGGUCUCUCUCUCUCUCUUUUUUUUUUUUUUGUUAUGUUUUUUUGUUUUGGCUAAAGAAAACUUGUGGUAAUAUCCUUCUUAUUGAAUCUCAGUGCCAUUAGACAGAAGAUGCACCAUUAUUUUAUGUUCCAGUAAGAAAACAAAACAAAACACAACAUUGCUGAUCAUGUACCAGUCAUUCAAACCAGGCUGUUUGGAAAUGACAUUAAUCUAUUCCUGGGGAUUUGGUAAUUUUCUCUGACUUCUCUUGCAUUUCUUGGCAUAUAAUAGCAAUAAUUUUGCAUAAAAUUCUCAGUAACAAAAUGAAGCACACAUUUAUCUGUUUAUUGGUAGUUCUCAGAGUCUUAUAAAGCAUUUGGUUGUUGCUUUGUAAGAAAAGAUGAAAUUUCUUUCCUACAUGAAUAUUUGCUUUACUAACAUUAAAUUUAUCCCAUACAUAUUUGUUCAGUUUUUAUGCUUAUAAAAUAACAUUUAAUUUAAAUACUGAGUCACAAUAUAAAUGAUUUUAAAACAGAAAUUAAACAACAUAUGCUGUGUCAAUGAUGUGCAUUAAGUCAACUGAAAUGAUAUUAAUGUGACUUUACACAUUUACAGACAAUGACAGAAUAACAUGUCUGCCUUUUGGCCCAUGAUGAUUGAAAGGGAGCAUAAAUUCUAGGUUAAAAUGUAAUGUGUGUGAGUGUAUGUGUGUGUGUGUGUGUGUGUGAGAGAGAGAGAGAGAGAGAGAGAGAGAGAGAGAGACAGAGACAGAGAGAGGGGAGAUGUAUAUAUGUAUGUUGUAAUUGGUGGAAUGUGUAGUGGUACUUGAAUUGUAAAAUAUAAUUGACAGUAAACUUUUGGUAACUAUUACUUAGAAUUCUCAUCUUUAUGAAGGCACUAUUUUAAGAAAAUAUGGAAAGAAUGGAAUGAGAAAACUUUCAUUUCCUCCAUUUUUCUCUAGCCCCAAUCUUUCAAUUGUAAUUACUCAGGCAUCUUCCUAUCUUUUUGUGCUUUCUACUCCCAGAAGGAAAUAAAAUGACAUGUUACAACUCCCUAAACAUCCCCUUUCCCCAAAUCAUUGAUCAAUAGCUCAUAUAUAUAUAUAUAUUUUUUGCCCUAAGUCUCUGGGUAUGCUUUCCAAAGUGUAAUGGAUUUUUAUUAUUUCUAUCCCUUGAGUAGCUUUUGAUCCAAGGUUGACUUUUGCCGUGUAAGGUUUUUUUUUUUUUUGGUCCCUUAAUGAUUUGGAAAGCUGAGGAGACAUUUUCACUUUGUCUUAUCUCUUCCUUGUUUAUUAUUUGGCCUGAUUUUGGAGAACCCUUCCCAAAAAGUCAUGGUUGGCUGAUAAGUUGCCCCCUAAACUCAGGGUCUGAUUUGUCUUUACAGUCAUUAAACCAUAUGAGAUCAUUUAGGGAAAGGCUGAGGGUAGCGACAUUCAUGGUUAUUAUUUAUCCCUGGCCUUUUUACAUCUUUCCAGAAUGGCAUGCUUCUUGACCAUCUGCCUUAUCAAACUAAGAAAGAAAACAGAUGGUGUGGGAGCCAACAGAUCAAAGGAAGGACUGGAGGAAGCUCUUCUCAGGAAUCAGCUUGUUCUUUUGCAAGGGCUAAUUGUAAACUGGAAAUGACCUGGUGCUCUGCUGCACUGGAACCUCAGGCCAACAUAGAUGCUGUCAGUUUCUAUCAGCCCCAGGUGAUUAACAGUAUCUUAAAUCUUCAGAUGAAAUUGUUGCUGGGUCUUUUAGAGCAGGUGGUCUGUUCUGAACCACAAGCUGUGCAAAUAUUGAAAGGAGAGUAUCCAUUUGGGAGGGAAAGUAGGCAGCCAAAAAGACCUUGAUCCUGGAGAUGGUACUUGUUACUUAACCUGGCUGCAGUAUAAUAAAGCUAAUUAUUGAUAUCUUUAAAAUUAUUGAUUGUAUUUUGAGAUAAUCUGUCUGAACUAUCCUUUUCAAUCACUCAAAAUACUCUAAGCAGCUUAAUUCACUUGUUAUUGGCACCUAGAUUGGGAUUUGUAGCAAGGUUGGUGACCAAAUAUUUGCCCCAAAGGUCACUUAAACUCUAAUUGAUUUUUCCAGAAGUUUUGAAACGAGCUGUCAUGUUGAUUGUAACCCUUAAAAGUCAGAUCCCUGCUCACUUGCUCAGAUGAAAGCAUUUUUGUUAGCAUGUUAAUAUUUCAUUUUAUUCUCUGAGUUUGUAUGAAAAUGAACCUCGAAUAAUAUAGCAGUCUUUUCUCAUUUAGAAUGUCUAGAGUCCUUUACCUUUAAUUUUUUUUUUUAGAAUUACAAACAUUCAAACAUUUAUGUGCCUUAAUAAGUUUUAUUCUCUGGCAUAAUUUCAAUUAAAAAUGCUUGUGAGGAGAGUUAAGUCAUUCCUUGUGAUUUGUGCCUGUGCAUUGAUCGUAUCCUGUAAGUGCUAGUGUAAGGUGACAAAUGCAGAUACUAGACAGGAGGAGGGAAGUGACGGGUAGCAGCAAGCAGCAGGCAGAGCUCCGUGGACGUGACCUCUAUGGAUGGGCACCCAUCAUGGGUCUUGGCAUUUGAAAAGGAUUAGAGGAGGCUGAAUAAAUAUUCUUGGUCACACAUAAGCAAAUGAUUAAAAGUCAGAUAAUCUUUCUUGGUAAAAAGCUGCUAUAAGCUGCCAGGCAUGGUGGUUCAGUCUUGUAAUCCCAGCGACUUGGGAGGCUGAGGCAGGGGGGUCGUAAGUUCAAGGCCAGCCUAGUAACUUAGCAAGACCCUAUUUCAAAAUAAAAAUAAAUAAAAGGACUGGGGAUGUGGCUCAGUUGUAAAGCACCCGGGUUCAAUAAAAAAAAAAAAGAACAAAAAUGAAUCUGCUGUAAGCAAAAAUAAUUCUCCCUAAAAGGAUAGGAGUUUGGUAUUAGGAAUUCUCAUUGGACUUAAGGAGAUUCAUUUUAUUCUUUGUCAAAUGAAAUUAAAAUUAUGUAUGAAAGAGUCUUAAGCUUCCUUGAAAAUUUAUCCUAAUCACCUGUCUGACAAUAUAACCCUUUGCUAGAGAUAUAUCUUAAUGCACUUUCAUUUGCAGAUAAUAUAUUACAUUAUAUAUAUCUAUAUCUAUCUGUAUUUAUCUAUCUACCUACCUAUCUGUCUAACUCUCUCUAUAUAUAUCUUUGAGGUGAUCUGAUGUUGUUUAGCAAACUUAAAACCCAUCUACCAAAAAUAAUUUUGACCACCUACUAUGUGCUUGCUUUCCAAGUUGCUGAGAUAAUAGUAUUAAAAUUGUGGUGGAUUUCAUCAUUAGCCUUAAUUCUUUAACUACUCCCUAUAUCAUACUCUUUGCUGGGUGACUUUGAAGUUUACAAGAACAAAGAGAGAAGUUGAGUGACCAACUGGUCUGUUUACCAAAGACUUUUCUGUUGUAACAUGGAAAUUGUUUGCAUUUUCAUUCUGAGAAGAUAAUUGGUUUCCCAAAGUGAAGUAUAUUUCUAUAACCUUUUACCUUGGGCUUGGUCAUGUGACAUAUUUGGUCAAUAGAGUAAGGUAGAAAUUGCAGAGUGUCAAUUCUGAACCCUGCCCUUAAUAGACUUCACAGGUUUACACUGUCUGUGCUUCUCCUACCAUCAUAAGAAGAACAUGCUGUGACUAUCCCACUGGUCUAAGGAAAGUGUGAGUAUAUGGAAAAGAGCCAAACUCAGCAGAGUAGCCUGGCCAAGUCCAGUGUAUGCCAGCUGUCUCCUAGCAAAGCUACAGUUACAUGAGCAAUAAUAAUAGUCAUUGUUUCGAACCACUGAUUUCGGGCAUCCAUUAUUAGACAGCAUAAAUAGCCUACAUAAAUACACUUUAUUAGGACCAGGCACUGGGUAAAAAGUCUUAAACCAUCUCCUGCUACCACGCCAUGAAGUGGUAGUUAUCACCGCUAUUUUAUAAUUGGAUAAAUUGAUAUGGAGAAAGAGUCAAUGCCCAAGUUAAGCAAUGGAGCUGUUUUCAAACUUUUUUUUCCAUGAAGUUUGAAAAGCUAUCAAGCAGUACAAGCUUAUUAUAAAAUACUCAAGCUAAUCAGAAAAUCUAAAUAAAAAAAGUAAAAUGUCCCUUCCCUUCCUGCCUCCCCUCUUUUCAUAGUCUUCCUCUGUGACACAAUCACUGUUAACCUUUGGUGUGACUCCUUCCAGAUAAUUUUCCAUGAUUUUUUUUUUCAGCACAACUUUUCAUUUCUCUUAUUGUAUACAAUGUAGCAUCACACCAUAUGUGCAGUCAUACGUGUACCUUGGUUAAUGAUGUCCAUUUAAUUCCACAAUCUUUCCUGCUCCCAUCCCCUCCUCUCUCUCCUCCCCUUUGCCCAAUCACUGUUCCUCCAUUUUCCCAUGCCCCCUCCCCACACCCAAUUAUGGAUCAGCAUCCACUUAUCAGAGAGAACAUUCGACCUUUGGUUUUGGGGGAUUGGCUUACUUCACUUAGCAUGAUAUUCUCCAAUUCCAUCUGUUUACCUGCAAAUGCCAUAAUUUUAUUAUCUUUUAAUGCUGAGUAAUAUCCCAUUGUGUAUAUAUAACACGGUUUCUUUAUCCAUUCUAGUUCAUGGAAUAAUUUGAGGAGUAUUGGUAUUAAUUCUCCUUUGUAGGUUGUGUAGAACUCAUGAUGUGAAUCUGUCUGGUCCUGGGCUUUUCUUGGUUGGUAGGCUUUUGAUAGCCUCUUCUGUUUCCUUGCAUGAAAUUGAUCUGUUUAAAUUGUGUAUGUCCUCUUGACUUAAUUUGGGUUGACCAUAUGCCUCUAAAAAUUUGUCAGUGUCUUUGAGGUUUUCUACUUUACUGGAGUAUAAAUUUUCAAAUUAUGUAUGAUAUAUCAAAGUGCAUAAAUGCAGUCUACUGUCAUAUAUAACUAAUUAAAACAAAAAAAAUUUAAAAAACCAUUGACCACAAAUACCCUCCAACCUCCCCAGGAUUAAUCACUAUCUUGAUUUAUGUAACCCUAGUUUUGCAUAGUUUUGAAUUUUUGUGGGUUAUAUAUUAAUGAAAUUACUUUUCAGCUUUUGCAGAUAUACUCCAGCCAUUGUUCAUAGUGAUUUUGCCAAUUAUUCUCAGGGGCAGCAUGGGGACAGCCAUCCCUAUCUCCUCAUCCGAAGUCUGCUGUUCUUCUUUCCUUGCAUUGCAACAAAUCUAACAUGCAUCUGCAGUACUUGUCUGUAUGAUCACUCUUUGGUCAUCCCUUGGGACAAGGUUUACACCCAGGUCUGCUUUUGCAAAAAUGGGCCUGGGCAAGAGGUCUAUUUAGAUAAGAAAUUCUGGAGACCUAACUGUCUGGACUGUAGUCCUGGGAAGGAGCAGGGAUGUGUUCUGAGUGAGCAUGCUCUUAGGCUGCAUGGAUUCUUUUACUCCAUGGGGUGAGGCAGGGCCAGAAGGACUGCUCCUGCCUCUGUCCAAGAACAGUGUUGUACUCAUUUUCAAUGUAGGAAAGUCCCAGUUCUACUUCUUCACCAAGACUCAAAAUUGUUAGUCAUCUUUAUUUUAGCCAUUCUGCUGGGUGCACAGUGGUGUUUUAUUGUAUGUUGCACUGAUGAUCAUUGAGGUAGAACAUUUUUCUUUUUUCUUUUUUUUUUAUUUGGACAUACUGUCUUGAGGAGUAUCAGUUUUCCACAAUUUUCUAUGACUUUGCUGGUCACUGAUAUUAUCCCCGUUUUACAAUGAGGUAUCUGAAACACAAAGAAGAGAAAUAAUUUUGUGAAAAGCCAUAAGUAGAAAGUAGCAACAUCUGGAGUUUGAAUCCAUUGUCUCUAACUCUGUAAAACUCUCUCCUGGUACACUCAGAUGAUCAGACAAGAAACCUGAAUUGGUGUUUGACAUCUGUUCUGAUUCACUGAUAUGUAGCUUGGGGUGAUCCUUAUGAGGGCAAAGAGUUAUAUUCAAGAGACCUAAGUGGAGACUUUUUUUAGGUAAGAUAUAUAAUCAGGGAAGGGGCUAUGUUACAGAGACCACAGUCACAGAAAAGAUAAUAUUAACUGAAAGAAUAAAAAUGACCACUGACUUGAUUUCUAAUACAUUUCUAUUGAGCAUCUAGUAUGUGCUGAGCACUAUGCUAAAUUUCUAUACAUCAUCUCUGAUCUUCACAGAAACCCCAUGAAGACAGUAGUAUGUCCAGUUUAUAGGGGAAAACAAACAACAAAAACCUGACUUUUGAGAAAGCUAAUGGUACAUACUAGAAAGAGGUGGAGCCAGGAUCCCAAAUUAGGCCUCACCCCAGCUCCAGGGAUAAUUUUCUUCUCUUCCACUACACUUUCCUUGUUGGAAAGUAAGAUGACCUGCACCACUAAUUCCACUUGGGAUUCCAUGAAAUGGGGCUGGAUGUGAAAACAAAGCUGCUCAGGCACAUGGAUCAUAAGGCAUAUGGCCAAUGUUUGCCUUAAAGGUAGGAUCCCAAGGUAGAGCCAGGGAAAGAAAUCACUGAGGUGUCUAAAUGAAGUGUCUGCUAGAAGGAGCCAAAGAGUCAGUGGAACAAAUGCCAAGGACACCAGAACAAGUUUGGGAGAGUAGGUGGCAGUGAAUCCAGGAGAGAUUUCUCUGAUGCUUAAUAUAGAUGGGGGAGGAUUUUUAGAGACAUUCCAGAAAAUUCUGCGUGUGAAAAAGGCACACUUUGGGGGGUAUGGAGCCAGUUUGGGCCCACUGGUCCUUAUUGGAUCUUACAGACUAGAGGCUGGUGUGUGGCUCUGUUCCCUUUAGCCUACAUCCAGGAAGCUGCAUCUUUGUGGCUUGGUCCCUUCUAUUAAGGUGCUGAGGCUGCUGUAACAAAUCACCAUGAACAUGAUGAUUUCUGAUCACAUUUUAUUUUCUUGCAGUUCUGAAGAUUAGAAGUAAAAAAUGGGUUUCAAGAAGCUAAAAAAACAAGGUGUUGGUAGGGCCACUGCUGUGCCAGCCCCCCCAAGGGGCGGGGGUCACAUCUCCCUCUGCCAAUGCCACUUGUGAUUGCAUUUAGGGCCCAGCUGGAUAACCCAGAAUACUCUUCUCAUCCAAAAUCCUUAAUCAUACCUCUAUAUAAGGUAAUAUUCACAAGUUCCAGGAUUGGGUCUUGGAUAUCUUUGGGGGUCACUAUCAGGCUGUUACACCCCCACCAUUUGGACUUAAUAUUCAAUAGCAUAUCUCCUGUUUUUUCUCUGUGCAGGCUUUUACUUGGAAAUAAACUGGAUAAUUGCCUGAUUCACUGAAAAUCAGACAAACCCUUCUAAAAAUUUCUGUUCAGAAAUUUCUGUCUUUGUGGUUUCCAUAAACCACUUACAUUUCCUUCGGAUCUAUUAAAGUAUUCUAGGCAAGCACAAAGAACAGUUAACACUUACAUUUUACCUCAGAUAUAAAUUCUUUAGAUGAGUCAUAGGGUUUCCUACUGUGAAAUCACCUUUCUCAGAAGCUUCCUUUUCUAGGAACCUGAUAUGCUUUCAGAUUUUCUGCUUAGAAAAAAAAAAAUCUCUUCCUGCACCACUUCUCUCAUGCACAUUUUGCGAAUCCCUGUCAGCAGUGACAGGAAGCUCACUUCCGUGCGAGGGCUGUCUGCCCUGGGACACCUGUUGUGCUAGUGGCGAACAUGAGAUGUCAGACAUGUGCAGCCUCCUCGCAGGCUGCCAGGUGGACGGCUCAGCUGCUCCUCAGACUCGGGAUCUUCAUAGCUUUCUCCAGGGGCCCGGGGUUCCCUCUCAUUCUGCUUUUCAUCUUCCACAUCAUUCACAUUGUGAAAGGCUUUAUCAUUAUGGUCCCAGGAAGGCAUUUUUGUUCUGUAGCCAUUUGUUGUCAAUUCAUUCAGCAUGUGUUUCUCAAGUGUCUGCUACGUACCUAGCAUUCUGAUGGGUGCUGAGUAUUUAGGAUGAGUGAAGGACAGAUUCUGGCCUCAGGAUAUCAAGUUUAGUCAAGAUGUGAUAAAUCUGCAUAUUAAUCCUAAAAUUAGUGGCAAGUGAUAGAGACCAAAUACACACUAAUUAAACAUCAAUUGGGUAAUGAAAAAGUCCAGGGAUAGUACUAUGUUUCUGUUAGAGUCCAAUCAGAGAAGGGUUUAACCAGUUUAAAAGGUGUGCACGUGCACACACACACACAAGCACAAAGUGAUUUAUUACGAGACUUUGACCUAUGCAAUUACAAAAGAUGGCUGACUAGUCUUUAUCAAACUGCUCUCUUUGUUUCCCAGGGAAGCUGGAGGCAAAGUGGGUAAGAGUGAAGAAAUAUUGACAUGCUUGAACAUGAAGUCUAGGAGGAUGGGACUGGAACCUCUUUCCACCUCCUGACCAUGUUAACUUCUUUCUGCAGAAGGGAAACUGGCACUUUUUUUUUUUUUCAUGAAGCUAAACUUACACCUUUCUAGGAGUUGAUAAACUAAGGAAAUCUGAGUCAAAGUGAAGUUGAUGCAAACCUGGACGCCUCACCCAGACAAGUGAGCAGGUAACCAGCAAGAUGCUUGCACUGCUAUGCUGCCUUCUGCCCCUGUGUGGCCCUUUCGUGGGUAAAAGCAAUGCAGCUAUUUUCAUCUCCACCUUCUAACUCUCAUGCAAAAUGUCUUGUUUUCCAGUCUAACCGGAAAUUUAUAGCAGAGGGUAUACUGGGAGCUAGAUUACCUCUUAGCCAAGCCAGCACAUUACACAGCCACCCAUCCUGGCACAUGGAACAAUAGGCCAAAGGUGUUCAAUGUCCUUAGAAAUCUCCCAACUUUGUUUUUACCUUUUGACUUCUUUCUCAAAGUGCCUCUUUUCUCAGUUCUGCUUUAUAAGCCCAGUGGAAGGAGAGCCUCUCUCAAAAGUUUUAGCCAGCCCUGGACUGACAUUGACUCUGAUGUACCCAGAGGGAUGCUGCAGUCUCCUUGGGAAGUCCUAGGUGGCUUCUCUUGAAAUCAGGGGACAGGGCCAGCCUCAUUCUAAAUACAUACUUUGGGAACAUAUAAGAGGUAGCUCCUCAUGGGAGAAUGAAGGUGUUGGCAGCACAAGAGUGAAUCAAGCCAAGAAUAAAAGCCUCCUAAUAAAGAUAGGAAACUUGGGGAACGAUGUUGCCUCAGGACAUGGUUGUGUUGAAUAGGAAAGCAGCUGGCAGCAGAGAGUGAUUACUAGGCUGCUAUCUGGAGGCCCUUCCUGUCUGCUUUUAUUGGCUCUUGUAUUUGCCAGCUAUGUGUCCUUGGGCAACUUGCUUAAGCUCCUUGGAGCUAAAUUACCCCAUUAGACAAGGGGAAAAGUUAACCUAAAUCCACUCAUUCAUCCCGAGAGCAAUACCUGAAUGCUCACCACAUUCCACACCCUGUGAUAACGGAGAAGCCCUUAAGGUGCUUGGCAUAUGGUGAGGAAGAUGGAUGGGUAAAUUUACCACACAUGGAGCAGAUCAGAUCCUUAUAGGCCGAGAGGCAUCCCUCUGUAGCCAAGUGGGUUUCUCAGAGAAGCGCAUCUGAAGGGAACCCUUGAAAGAACAAGCAGGAUUUUCCUGAGAGAGGUCAAGAUGUUAAUUUUAUCGGUAAGCAUGGUAGAUACAGAGUGCAGAGUUGUAAAUGAGCAUGUCCAGAGGCAAACAUCCAAGGCCAUGUGCUGGCACCUGUGCAGAGCUGGCAGAAGCUAAGCUCUCUGGUGAGGAUCCAAGCAAGAAAGGUAUUGCACACCAUGCUACAGUGUGUGGUCUUCAUCUCAUAGGGGUUGAGAUACAGCAGGACCGUUUUGUGCGCAGGCGUCUCGUGAGUGAUAUUUAAGAACAGAACAUGGGAUGAGCUAAGAAAUCCUUUACCUUUUGAAAGUAACAGAAAUUGCGCACCUGGGCAGAGGCAUAGGUGGUGAUAUUUUUCUGAAGUUAAGGGCUAUUGGGGGUGGGACUUAUUAGGACACAGAAAUUCUCCAGCUGUGAGGAGGGAUUGGAAGAAAGGCAAAUGCCAACUCCUGUGAUCACAACUAGGAGGAAGAAGAGAUGGGAUGGCUACCACUGAGAAGGGAAAAACCGGAGGAAGCACAGCUUGAGAGAGGGGGACGCUGAGUGUAGUUUGGGGCCUGUUGAAUUAAAAUAGCUUUUAGGAUGCUCAGGUGAAAAACUCAAUGAGAGCCAAAGCUUCUAACUCCGAGUCCUCCAUUUUAGGGUUGGGUUCAUUUUAGUUAGGAAACUUUGCUUAUGUGCUUUUCUUGUCCACUUUCCAUGGUAUAAAGACAUGUCAUGAGGACCCAGGACUUGAGAAGUGGUUGGCAGAGUGAUCACUGUGCCUCUUUUAACAUCUUAUUCCCAGUCUUUAAUGGGAAGGAAGAAUACAAGCUGCAUGUCAUGAGUCAGGCACAGAAGGCACUAAAAUAACCAUGUGUUUCCUAAUUUCCCUUCAAUAUCUAUCACAGAAAAAAAAGUCAUCGAGUAAGAAAGGCUUUUGAAUAGUUCUUCAUAAAAUAAUUUAUUUCUCAGUAUUUGAAAUAGUCUCUGUGAAGAAUGAUUUUUUGAUAAUUUUUUUUCCUUCAAAAUGACUUUAAGUAAUAUUACCAUUCUUUAUUAUAAGAAUGCAGUGAACACUCCAAAAUAAUUGGAACUUUAUAAUAAAACACAAUCUGUAUCUCAUUUCUUAUUAAUAUUUUUAAGGAUACUUUUACUGAGCUGGGGUUGUGUCUUGGCAGUAGAGUGUGUGCCUAGCACAUGCGAGGCCCUGGGUUUGAUCCUCGGCACCACAUAAAAAUAAAUAAAAUAAAGGUAUUGUGUCCAACUACAACUAAAAAAUAAAUAUUAAAAAAGAAAGCCUUUUACUUCUAUGAUGCUGUAUCUAUCUAUAGAUAGAAUAGGUUUGUGCUGAACUGCAGAAGUUCCUUCUCGAGUUAUAAGGAUGACUGUAUUUUAGAUGAUCGUGGAUGGAUUUUUCCAGCAUCUCAGUGGCUCUGUGCUCAGAGCCACUCGGUUGGGGGCACUGGGUUCCCAUUAAUUUAGAUUUCAUGGAAACGCUACAAAGAAGGCAGAUUUGAACAUGAUUGCAAUUUCUUUCAGGCGGGUUCAUUGCGGUCAAGGGUCAUCUUCUCUUUUGUCUCUAAUAGAAGUCCGGAAAACUAAGUCCAGGCUUCACAUUCAUGAAAGUUUUCUUUUGGGGCCUGAGAAGGCAAAGGAACCACUACAAAUUAAUUCAUUCAUACAGUGAAGGGGGCAUCUUGCUUUCCUUUUAACUCUUUCUUAAGUUGGAUUUUUAUUAGUUUGAUUAAAGCCAAGAUUUAGUGACUUCUGACUGAUUGAAAUGUGGAUUCCAUUUAUCUGUAAAGAGGAACACAAAGCAGUCAUGAAACUGACAUGAUACCCUGACGAGAUGCCUAUGUAUGCACUUAUUUCAGGAACUGCAUUUAAAUACAAUAUUUCCAUUAGGAACUGAAAAUAUUCUUUCAAUAAACUGUAUCAAGUAGGCAUUAUUACUUGCAUUUGACAAAUGACAAAACUGAGAUUCAAGAAAGUAAACCCACUUGUUAUAAGCUACUUCUGCUAUAAAUCAAGUUUGCUUUUAUCUAAAGCCUGUAUUCUUCCCUCUUUUAAAUACCCUUCAUAUUUUAUUCUAGGUAUACACAUUGUGUCUUAUUGGUGACACACAAGUUGGAAAUAGCAUUGGAUUAUGAGUUAAAAGUAGGAGCUAGCCAGGUGUGGUGGUGCAAACCUGUAAUCCCAGCAGCUCAGGAGGCUGAGGCAGGAGGAUUACAAGUUCAAAACAGCCUGAGCAAAAGUGAGGCACUAAGUAACUUAGUGAGACCCUUUCCAUAUACAAAAAUACAAAAUAGGGCUAGGGAUGUGGCUCAGUAGUUGUGUGCCCCUGAGUUCAAUCCCCAGUACCCCCCCAAAAAAAAUAAAAUGAGGAGCGCUUCUUCUAUCCACUAAAAAUGACUUAACUGCUAUGAAAUAGGAAAUUUUGCAUCCAUAAAAUAAAGGUAACAGUAUCUGCUUCUACUCUUUUCGCCUAAAUAUGUUGGUAUGAGGGUCAGAUGCAAUAAUAUUAGUGACAGGUUUAGUGUCAUAAAAAAAAAAAAGACAGAAGAUGAGAUUUGACAUCCAUUACCUUCCAGCUUUAACCUUGAACAAGGAACUUUAUAAUCUGGCCUGUAUUCUCAUCUAAUAAGUGUGAGUCUGCCUACCUUACAUGCUAAAUAUCCUACUUAAAUGAAAUAUGUAAUUUUUAGUAAGAUUUUAAAAACCACUAGGCAGAAUUUGUAUAAGAGAACAGAGCCUAAGUAAGAAAAUUAUUCAAAAUGCAUAUUAGUUUUCUACUGCUGCUGGAACAAAUUAUCCUAAGGUAGUGGUUUACAUAACAGGAAUUUAUUAACUUAUAGUUUCAGUAUUCCAGAAAUUCAAUAUGGGUUUCACUGGGCUAAAGUCAAGGCAUCGAUGGGCAUUGGUGGGGCUGUGUUCCUCCUGGAGGUUCUAGGGAGAAGUCUAUUUACCUUUUGCAACUUCUAGACGCCACUCACAUUUAUAGGCUCGUGGUACACCUCCUCCCCCUUCAGAGUCAGAUACUGUUUUAUCUCCCUCUUUUUUGGUUGUUCAGUGUCUCUGACCACUGGAAAAGGCUUUCCAAUUUUGGCCCUUGUGGAUAAUCCAGGAUUCUCACCCUAUCUCAAGGUUCAUAAACUUCAUCACAUCUGCAAGUCCUUUUGCCACAUCAGUAAUAUAGUCAGAAGUCUGGGAAUUAGAGUGGGUUAUUAUUCUGCCUUUCACCAUGUGUGACAUAAUAAAGUGAUUAUUACUGAGUUACUAAAAAUUAUAAUGAUGAUGAAUUGGUUUUUUUCUUUUUGCUAAAUUACUCAUCAUUUGAUCCAUAACUGGAAUUUGAUCUAGCAUUAAGUCCUCAUCACAUUUAAUCUGCCACAGAAAUGAUUUUCAUGAGACGCUCACCUUAUUAAUCCAUCAUCUCAGUAAUUUAGUUAUUAACUGAUUUUCAAAAGAGAUUUCUCGGCUGCGGGAAGGAGAUUCUCACAAGUGCUGGCAGAUGCAUCAAUAGUAGGAAAGCAGAUCAACCUCUAAAAAAGGAAAAUCUUGGGAAGCACAUAUGUGAUCUGGAAUACAAACCAAGGAAUUGAGGGCUGUCCUGAGCAGUAGGACUAAAGGUGGCCAUCAUGUUAUUCAGCAGGGGCAGGGAGAAUUUUUUACUUUAAUAUGUAGUAUAAAACAGAAAUUAUGGCUUAUCUCCAAGUAGGAUCAAUCAUAUGAUUUAUACAGGUGCCAAGAUGUUGUAGGUAAGGGUGAUAAAAGCUGAAGUCAGUAGGUAACAGUAUCAGCCUCAAAAUAGGCCUGGCAGUGAAAUUUACAAAAAGGUCAGUUCAAUACAAACUGGUUUCCUUAAGAUGCUGUAGGUGAUCAACUUUUGAGCUUUUUCGUUUGUUAUAAAUUGGAUCAUAGACGUUUAUGUAAUAUGUGUCUCCUCGUCACAAAAAUUGUUCCCCACUAACUCAGUUCAAUAUAUUCUAUUUUAGCAUGCAAAGCUUUCCCUUCAGGUUUGCCCUCACACAUUUUAUCUUCUUUAUUGAGGAGCAAGAGUCCCUGUGAGCAUCUUGGAUUGUCACUUAGCAGGGGAAGUGAAUGUGAAUGUGAGAAAUGAAUGUGAACCACACUACAAGACGAGUCAUCCUUGUGUUUCUUGUAUAAGUGGGCUCUUAUUCCUCGUAUAUCCUAAACUUUGUUUCUCACUAUUUUUUUUUUGUAUUGAGGAUUUAACCCCAGAGCGUUUAAUCAGUGAGCCACAUCCCCAGCUCCUUUUAUAUUUUAUUUAGAGACAGGUUCUCUCUAAGUUACGUAGGGCCUCGCUAAGUUGCUGAGGUUGACCUUGAACUUGUAAUCCUCCUGCUUCCGCCUCCUGAGUUCCUGGGGUUUCAGUUGUGUGCCCCCACACUCAGAUUCCCCUAAUUCUCUUAAAGUUGGUCCUUCAUCUUCUCUUUCUCUUCUUUACUGGAUCAUUCCAGUUGUUUUUUUUUUUAAAAAUCCCUGAAAGAAUGCCUCUUAGAAGAGAAACUUCAACUGACACUAAGGUUAAUAGCUUAUUUUAAUUGAUAGUGGUUAACGUAAGCUAAAAGCAGUAUUGUUAUGUUUUGGAUAUGGAAUGUUCCCCAAAAGUUCAUUGCUUCUCAAUGCAACCAUGUCCAUGUGUAGAGGUCAGGAUUUGGGGGAAGUGACUGGACGCUGAGGAUUCUGACCUCAUCAGGGGAUUAAUCCAUUGAGAGCUUCACAGCUGAAUGCAUCAUUGAGAAAUGGCAGAAAUGUGGGAGGUAGAACCUGGUUGGAGGGAGUAGGUCCUUGGGAGCAUGCCCUUGGAGAUUAAAUUAUCCCCAGUUCUUUUCUUUCUUUCUGUGCUUUCUGGUUGCCAUAAGGUGAGCAGCUUACCUUUGCCAUACCUUCCGCCAUGACGCUCUGCUGGCCUAAGGCCCAAAUCAAUGGAGCCAGCAAACUGAAACCUCUGAAAUUAUGAGCCAAAACAAAUCUUUCUUUAAGUUGUUUCCUAAGGUGUUCUGGUCACAGAGAUGAAAAUUGACAAGAAUAAUUUCAGUAUUUAAAAAUAUCAAGCUCCAUGUCAAACUUUAGUGGGUCCUUGUGGCUUGGAGGAGAACAUUUCAUAUAUUCUUCACAUAAACAUUCCAAACAGCAAAGAGAGAAAACUAUGUACCCCUGUGGAGAUGGAGGGGCAGGGUUCUGAAAAUGCAGUCCCUCGGGUAGAUGCAGCAGGUGAAGCUUUUGAUUGUUCAUAUUUUAACUUAAAAAUUUACAUCCGUUUUUCAUUUGCCUCCUUAAUGUAUUACUAUUUAAGAAUGUCAAGAUAUUUUAAAAUUAUUUCUAUUUUAUACUUCUCUUUUUCUGAUCUCUCCAAUCUCUGAGUAUAAUUCAAUCCAAGAAAAUGUCUCAUGCUAAUUCCAUGGUAUCCUGUUAUCCCUUUAACUUGAUGCUCACCUCCAGCUUAAAAUGCCCAGGUCAGGCCUACAGAAUCCAAAUUCAAAAUCAUGUCAUUAAAGAAUGCCAAUAAUCAAGCAAGUAUUCCAAAUUUAACAUCUGUUUAAAGUUUGUGGUGGGUGAGUAGAUGGCUGUUAUAUAACUUUCUACACUUAAUUAAAUGGAAAUGUUUCAUAUUUAUAAAAUGCAAAUAAAAUGAAAUUUAAAGCAAGGUCCAUACAGUCUAAAUUCUACCUUGGAAUCCAAACACAUCUCUUUUUUAAAAUAUAUUUCUUAAUUUAUUCUACUUAGUUAUAUGUAACAGUAGAAUGCAUUUGACACAUCGUAUAUAAAUGAAGUAUAACUUCUUGUUCCCCUGGUUGUACAUGAUGUGGAGUUAUACAGAUCAUAUAAUCAUAUAUGCAUAUAAGGUAAUAAUGUAUAAUUCAUUCUACUAUCAUUCCUACCCUCAUACUCCUUUCCUUCCUUUCACUCCCCUUUGUCUAGUCCAAAAAAUCUCUAUUUUUGUCCCAUUAUUGUGUAUUAGCAUCUCCAUAUCAGAGAAAACUUUGACCAUUUGGUUCUUUGGGAUUGGCUUAUUUCGCUUAGCAUAAUAUUUUCCAGUUGCAUCCAUUUACAGGCAAAUGCCAUAAUUCAUUCUUCUUGAAGGCUCAUUAAUAUUUCAUUGUGUAUAUAUACCACACCAACUCAUUUCUUAAUGAGGAAUAAGAACAACUAACAUGUUUUUUUUUAUAUGGGAUGAAAUUUAAAUUGAGUCUCAUGAAAAGGAUGGGACUCAGACAAGCCAAGAGAAAAAAAAAAAUUCAUGCUAAGGACUGCAAUAAGAUUUGUAAUCAGAAAUUACUUAUUCUGUUCUGGAAACUUUGAGAGAAGGAUGAAGAGAUGAGUUUGGAUUCCAAGGUAGAAUUUAGAACGGUGUAGACCUUACUUUAAAUUUUAUUUUAUUUGUAUUUUAUAAAUGUGAAACAUUUUCAAAUAAUUAAGAAGUGCAGAAAGUUAUAUAACAGCCACCUAUGUACCCAGUACAGAGAAAGAGAUUGGUCUCAACUCUGAAUGUGGUGUGAGCAGUAGGAAUUUAUCACUAAGGAGCAGGGUGAGGGGUCCAUGCAUGGAAAAAUCACUGGCAGGAAUCAUGGAGGGAAAAGAAGGUUCUGGCUAAACUGACCUAGAAAGAUUCCUGCUGAAGGAAGGCCAGAGUAAUCAGAUGUCACCUAGGGGAUGGGGAAGAUAGGGUUGAUGAGAAAAGUAAAAACAAGAAAGUAAAAACAAGAAAGUAAACUGGUGGGACUAGGAGAUGUUUAAAAAACCUGAUUAUAGUUAGUCCAAGCAGAUCAUUCAUGUCGAUGUGAUCAAGUGCAAGGAACUUGGUUUUCUCUAGCACUGGAAGCUGUUUCUCACUCUCAUGUUGUUCUGUCAUUCCUGGAAUGUGGGUAGGAUGCUGCUCUCAGAUAAAUAGACAUCUAUCUACUCUUUGUUCCAAGUUGCAGCUUGAAGCUCUUCUCUGUUGGCCUGAAGCUGGAAGCUGGUCUGAGGUGCAGAGGAGCCAAAGGUCCCAGAUGCUCCAGGGGGUGACCACAGUGAGUCCUGUUGAGCCAAUCAUUUCCUUUUCCACACAUCUGAAGUAUCUACCACCUGGACAAUUUCUGUUUACCCAUCUGCCUAUUGUGGUUAUCUUUUCCAUGAUGCACCUUUUUUUCUCUUCUGUUAGCUGGUAAGUGCCAGAGUAGUCACUUAAAGAGCAUUUAGAACCGGAUGCUAUGAUGCAUGCCUUUAGCCUGCGGCCAGCACAGGCUUCAUAAAUGAAGGUUCAGCUACGUGAGAAAUCCAAAAGGGAGUUUGAAUUAAAGAGACAGGUUCUAAUUACCUUUAAACCAGCUCCAGGAUGGCUUCUCCUACCUCCGGCCUCAAGCUACCUAUUAGAGUAGCGAGGUUUACUGAAGAGGAGAGAGAGAGAGAGAGAGAGAGAGAGAGAGAGAGAGAACAUGCCAGGGAGUGAACUUUUAUUGGGGAACAAAAAAUUCUGGGGAAAAUCCCAUCCAAUGAAGAUUAAGGGGAGCAGUGUCCCAAGAUCAGGUGCGAUGAUUGGGUCUUCAGGGCUUGUGGCCAGAAAGCCUCCACACAGACAAGCCCUCGGACCUGAGAAGGGUGGGGAAAGCUCUGGACACAAAGAUGUGUCUAAGUGCCUCUUGCCCAGCCAGGGAGGUAACUCGAAUCACAUGCGAGGAUGGCCUUCCACACAAGCCUGAAAUCCCAGCAACUCUGGAGAGGUAGGCAAGAGGACUGCAAAUUCCAGACCAGCUUGAGCAAUUUAGUGAGAUCCUGUUUCCAAAAAGGAAAAGAAAAGAUAAAAGGAAGUGGUGGUUGGUUCAUAUGAGCGAACCUGUCUUCCCAGGUGAGUCACUGGAUGAAAUCAUGAAAACAGACUUUGCCAAGAGAGCACAUUUCUCUAUUCUCUAUGUCAAAUAUCCAUGUGAUUCGUUGACACAUUCAUUCAUUAGCAAAUGUUUUUGAGUGUCCAGCAUGGCCAGGUACUAUUCUUAGUCGAAAUGAAGCAGUGUGCAAAACGGAAGGUGAUGGGGAUGAUGAUGAAGAAACUCCCCCUGGGUGUGGUAAUAAGUACCUCCCAUUUGGCUGUGCCUUUCUUGGGGCACCACCUGUGAAUCCAGGCAUAUGAAGAGUUGCCAGUGGCAGAGUUCUAAGCCAUUAGCUCAUUGGACAUACAGAGGUUAGAUGCAUUAAGGCUGCUGACUGAACAUGAGGAACAAGAGCUACCCUUUGCCUCUCAGGCAAGUGGGGAGUUAGAAACUCACGCCCUUAGGAGAUGGUCCAGGGCUGAGAAGAUGGAUAACAUUCCAUAUCUGACAUAGAUUUAAAUUCUGGAGUAGAGCCAGUAAAACUGUGCCAACGUCCUAAAGAGAGGAAGUCUAUGAUAAAGAAAACUCAAAAUGUAAAAAUCAUACCAAGAGAUACAAAACAAAAAGUAACUCUUUUUUUUUUAUCUCUAGUAACAGAAUAAUCCAAUGUGAAAUAGUUGCUUCUAAAGGAGAGGUUACACUUUUGAGUUUACUUAAAUAGUGUUUUUCUCAUUCAUAAAAGUAAUAUAUCCUUUUGGAAACAUUAGAAAGUUACUAAAGGAGGCUGAGUUAAGGCAUAUAAAUUAGUUAGAAAUAGAUAAAUGAGAGACCCUGCCUUAUUUCUUCUGGCAACUUCUUAUUAGGUGCAGGUUCAUACUUUAUUUUUCUAUGUAUAAGCUAUUUUAUGCUUUCUUUGUUUUACUAAACUUGGGAAAGAAUGCCAAACCAAUUACUCUUUCUAAAGUAUAUAAAAUACAUGUCAGAAUGUGCAUAUUUUUCACUUUUUAAAAUGUUUUAUAUAUUUAUUUUUAAAUUAUAUAUAUCUUUUAAAUUUUUAAAUUUAUGUAUCUUUUUAUAGAAAAGUUGAAAAACACAAAAAUGAAGUUAAAGUUAUCUAUAAUCCCACUACUGCUGAUAUGCUAGCAUGUACUUUGGUGCAUUUAUUUACAGAUUGUAUGCAUGUAUAUGCAUAGAUAUCUUAUCCAUGCCAACAUAUAUGUGAAGAAUUACAACUACAUGGAAAAUGUUUAUGAUGUGAUAUAAGCAGGAAAGAGCAGAGUGGAAACCUUUUCCUGAUCUCUGAUCUCUUUAAAAUUUUUCAUAAUCAUGUUUUUAAUAAAUUCAUGAUAGUUCAUCAUUUUGCUGUGAGCUGGUAAACUUUUUCAGAAAAAAUGGGAGCUGCUCUUAAUAAAUUCAGAAAAUUCUGCUAUGAAAUGAAAACAGGUUGUCUGCUUAUUCUUUCUCCUCAUCAUGAUCUCAUAUUUUUUCCUAGCACUUUCCAACAUCCAGAGCAUAUAGUAGUAAACCUAAAGCCUGCAAAGCUUUAGAACUAGAUAUGAUUUAAUAUUUUUAACAGUCAGUACCCAGAAUAGUAACAUCAAUAUUCUGAAAGGAAAAUUAGGGAAAUGUCAAGAGUUGAAAACUUCCUACAUAUAGUUUGAGCAUCAAAAAUUAAAACAGCUACCGUAAUGUUUCUCUCCCAGUGUUUGCUACAAUAGGAGGCACACUUCUUUUACAAUGACAUCUUAGAGUCAUGAUUAAAUAUCUCCUUGGUCCUGAACUCUGGGCUUCCCCAAGGCCAGCACAUGGAUCAAAGUGGCUACAGAAAGAUACCUGGGGGAAGAUUUAAAACAAUACUAAAUCCUGGGUCCUGCUUCAGUACAUGUGGAGUGGACUGGAAAUCUGUAUUUUACAAGCUUUCCCAAGUGUUCUGAUAAAUAACCUAGUUUGAGAACCACUGCCUUGGGAGAGAUGGUGUAAUCCAAUUAUUUUCUGGCAGCCUGAAGGGAAGAGGUGAAGGUGGAUUUGAUUUAUUGUGUGAAACCUAAACUCCCCAGAGAGGCUCUCCCUAGAAGGCAUUAAAAAAAAUCUAUUUCAAUAUAGUUAUUUCCCUGGAGAGUUUUGAUUGUCAUUCUAAAGCCAUAGCAAAGAUUUGAUGAACUUUUCAGGUCACUUCCAACCACUCCAUUUUAUAAAACUGUGCUUAGUUCUGUAAAUGUUGCAAUGAUCUUUAGAAAAAAAAUUCCCUCUAGAAAAGAGUGCAUUUACUUCACACCCAUUAAGCUAAGCAAUCAUGACAUGUUCACACCCCUGAGCACAUUUUGUUCCUGAUAGAAAAUGAGACAUUCAGCUUAUUGUGGGCACAUAAAGACACUGGAGAUUUUAUUAUGGCUUUCAUUUCUCAAAAAAAUCUAUAUUAAACAUAAACUAAUAUUUAUUUCCUUCAUUUUGUCUGUAAUUUGCUUUGUAAAGAAUAUGUAAUAAUUUUUUCCAAUUUUACACAAGAAAUAACUUUGUAAAGAUGCCUCAUGCUAAUAUGAUCUUACGUUCCUCCCUUUCAAUCUCUUCAUAUUAAUUUACUUAAUAAAAAUCAUUUUAAUCAAAUAGUUAAUGCAUUCUACAAAUGCAAACCAUUCAUCUCAUAUUUCCAGCCUGUAUAACAUCCUCAUUAGAGGAAUUACUGUUGUAGUAGACUUUGAUAUUUUUUGUCUAUAAACCUCUUUUGACCACUGAAAGAUCUGCUUUUUAUCCACAAUAAGUGGUCCUGGUCUGUCAAUCACUAUGCCUGCUCCUUUGUUCUCCAUUGUAAGAGCCCAACCUUCUUAUGGCAAUGAUUGGCCUACUAGUUAGUAUGAGACCUAAAAAAGAUGAAUCAGAUGUAGAGUGGAAGAAUUAUCCUCCUUCUCUACCCUCCUAAACUUGACAGCUGGAAGAAGUUGACUCUAGUUUUUCCAGCAGCUGAUCUGAGUUUGUUUGUAUAAGAAUGUGAAUAUUUAGAGACUGGUAGAGAAGAGGGAUGGAGAAAGAUACCUAACGUAUUCUGGAUCUCAUCAUGUUGACCACCAACCUUCCGGCAAUGUGAAAUUUCUAUAUUUGUUCUGUGAGUUAUUUUAAAUUGGAUCUGCAGGCAAAUUGCAUUUCAGACAAAAUAAAUAAAUAAAGUCCUCACCAAUACAAUGAUUUUUCUCCAUUUUCCAGAUGAGUAAAUUGAGGCUCAGAAAGGUUAAGUAACUUGACCCAGCUAGUUAGUAAAUCAGUGGGGGCCAUUGGAUUGAAAGGGAACCAGUCCCUCAGAAGCGGCCAGCUGCCUGGAGGGCCCGACUCCUUCUGUGCACUUGUGAUAGUCANCAGCUAGUUAGUAAAUCAGUGGGGGCCAUUGGAUUGAAAGGGAACCAGUCCCUCGGAAGCGGCCAGCUGCCUGGAGGGCCCGACUCCUUCUGUGCACUUGUGAUAGUCACUCCUGCACCACAGAGCUCCGCAGUGCUGGAUCCUCCUCCUAGAAGCUGGAAGUCAUUUGCAGCAGAAGCAGGAGGGCGGAAGCACUGCUCAGCUUUCUUAGUCAUGGAGCUUCUUUACACAUGAGGCUGAUUUCAGCUUCUGUUUAAAUGGAAAACUACCCAUUUAUGUUGCUCCUUCUUCAUGUGACUAAUGACACACUAAUCCUAAAAAUGCUUUUUUCCCCCUUCUCUUCUGGUGAUGCUGGGAUGGGAGCCGUGCUGCAUGCUCAGCUAGUUAGUAAAUCACACUUGAGUUCAUAUCCUAACAGUAAAGCCUGUGUUCUUUAAACCAUGUUCUCAUUCUUCAGCAUCUACUGAAGAAAUCUGGCACUUGGAAAAGUAUCGUGUAAGAACUGGAUCAAAUGUGUCUGUCUUAGAAUAAUGUCAUGCCAAAGAGAGAGUUGUGGGUGUUGAUUUUGAUCCAAAUUUAUAGGGUCUUUGCAGAAAUUACAAGGUGCUAAAGUGUCAAAAGUAAAAAAAAAAAAAAGAAUCUACUAUGUACCUAAAACAAAAUUAUAAUUUAAAUUCUAUAUUAGCCAAAGACACACUUUUUAAAAUAGUACCUCAGAAUUUGAAAUGAGUUUUGUUAAAUUAUGGGUAAUAGUAAAUAAUAGACACAAACUCCACCAUAAUGUACACAUCUGUGUGUCAAUAGAGAUGUCCUGUUGCAAGUUAAAAUGUUUGAAUGGCAGACCUUUAUAGACAGGGACUUAUCUAUGUAUGUUAUAUUUUUCAAACAAAGAGUAAAGUACCCUUUGCUAUCUAGUAUCAGAUCAAAGUCUGUCUCUUCAGGGUCCCCUUAUAGUUGGGAAUGGUCUUUAUUUCCCGCUUCUACUCCUAAUCUACUCCUAAUCCACUUGUCUUUCUUUGACAGUAUGCUUCCCAGUGAAGAAUCUGAAGGACAUGAUUUUUAAAAUUUAUCUAUUUAAGGAGGCAUUAAAAGAAAUAGAAUUGAAUAUAGGAGAAAACCAAACUGUAUAACAUGCCUGAAUAAAUGUGCUAUACUUAAAUGUUUGGAUUUUAUUUUUGUUUUAGUAAAUAUACUUAAACUUUAAAAAAAAAGAUGUAAUAGUUGAUGUGUAAAGAACACAGAAACAUUUAGAUAAGAUAAAUACAGAGUCAGAAAAUGAAUAUCUGUGAAUCCAGUACUAGAUUCAGCUGUGGACUGAAGGACUAGAACUUGAUCAUUUCCUGUAACAAUUCUCCCCAAACCUAUCCCUAUGCCACCUUCCUCCUGAAUUUUAUGUGCAUCAUUUCCUUACAUUUUUUAAUUUAGUAAUUUAGUUUUUUUAGUGUAUGUUUCACUAAUGUACAAAAUAUAGAGCAUGGUUUUGAGAGAUACAACAUUUAUUAUCAUCCUAUCUGUGGUCUUCCUUGAUUUGCUGAUUUUAUUUCAAAUUAUGUUUCUAAAAUGCAUCCAUAUGCUUUUGUGUAGCUACGGUUCAUUCAUUUUUAGACUCUAUAAUAAUACUCAAUCUGUAAUUGUUUUAUAAUUUAUAUAAGUCACUUUCCUUUCAUUGAAAAUUUGAGGGAGGUUUUUCAAAUUUUGCUGAUGCAAAUGAUAUAGUAAUACAUGUUCUUAUUCAUGUCCAAGAUUUUUUCUUGGGUGCUAGGAUACCCAUGGUGGAACUGUCUGGUUUGGGGUAUAUAAUAUUUAACUUGAUAUGAAGAUGUUCAAAUGUUUUCCAUAUUUCUGUGAUUACUAAUACAGGUGAAUGCCUUUCCAAGUGUGUAUUUAUCAUUCAUGAUUCCUAUUUUUAUGAAAUACUUCAGUAUGACUUUUUUCUUUUGAGUUGUCUUUUUCUUGUUGACUUGCAGAUGUUUUUAAAAUACGUUCCAGAUUCUAUUCCCUUAAGGAUUCUAUGUUUUAUAAAUAUCUCCUUCAAGUUUAUGAUAUUUCCUUUUAACUUUCUUCCUGGUGCUUUUAAAAAUCAAUAUUUAAAAUUUUAAUAUAGUCAAAUGUCUCAAUCUUUUCUCUUAAUAAGCCAUGCCUUUUUUUUUGGUCUCAGCCUCACUGAGUAUAAUCUUUCAUAUCUUAUAAAUGUUUUUAUUUUUAUUUCUUGUAUUUCAAUCUUUAAUUCAUCUGAAAUUGGCUUUUAUACACGGUGUGAACUGGGGAACCAACUUUUUUUCAUUGAUUUUAUUUUUUUAAAUACAUGACAGCGGAAUGUAUUACAAUUCUUAUAACACAUAGAGAGCACAAUUUUUCAUAUCUUUGUAUAAAGUAUAUGGGGAACCAACCUUUUAUAUUUUCCCCUUUUAACUAACCAAUUGUCCACCAUCAUUUAGUUGAUAGCAUUCUCUUCCCCAGCCAUCUGUAUUUUCACUCUGUCUUUCGUGGGUUCCCUCUCUGUUUUGUUGGUCAAUAAAUGUAACUUCGUGUCUAUACCAUACAAUGUCAAUUAUUCUAUUUUUACAAGAAGCCUGCAUAACGGGUUGGACAAAUGCUAUUAUCUUUUUAAAAUUUAGGAAUAUUUGGGCUAUUCUCGGGCUUUUAAAUUUCCAUAUAAGUUAUUCAGCAAAACGUUUAGAGUUUCCUAAAAAAAAUAUACAGGUGGAAUUUGCUUUUUGAAAGGGCCAAUGCAGCUUCAUUUAUGUAGCUUUCAAACUCCAUUAUCCAAGUUCAAGGUCCUUCUGCCAGAGUUAAACGCCUGUCUCUGCUAGAUUGCUGUGCACCGUCCCAAAGUGUGAUAGAGCAGUUUUGGAGGUCCCAAUGCCUGCUGCUCUUGUUCCCAUGAAACACUGCUCCAGAAGGUCAUAUGUAUGUGCUGCUCAGCCAUGUGCCUGCUUGCACAGGUUCUGGUAAAUAUGCCACAAUGAGUUCAUUUACUUUCUCAGGGAUGGACAUGCAGGUUCCCUCUAGUUUUGAGAUGCCACAAACCACAUUGCUGUCUUUGUGUAUGUGAGCUUAUGGACCUGCAUGAAAAUGUAUUCGAAUGAGAUCUCGGCUGGUUCCUAGUUUACAUCGAUAUUUUAUCUGCUUAAAUAUUAUCAAACUUAUCAGCUACACCACUUGAUACUUUCACAUGCUUCUCAGUGUACCUCCCAUAUUCCUCUACCUAUUCAUGUAUAUAGAUAUAACAUCUGGGAAAUUAUAAUUUUGCUUACAUGUAGCCAUUUUCCAUCUUAUAUAAUUCCUAAAUGUUGUUCAAUGAGCAUGUGUUCUUUUUUACAAUCAUAAUCAUAAAAUAAGUUCUUCAAAAACCAUUUUCCCCUGACACACAUGUGCAGUGUGUGUAUCCCACCCCAGUGCCACCAACUUUACUAGAAAUAAUUUCUCAACCCUGGUCCCCCUACACUAUGAAAAGAGCCUUUCUUCACGGGCAAUGUACACAAUGUCCCAUCAGGCCUCUCUCCUCCUGCCUUGUGUCCUCUCUGUAUGUAAAAGCACCCCAUCCUCAAAUCAGGUGAGAUCUUGUCCGAUUUAUAAAAUUCUAUAACUAAAUCAUGCUAAAACAGAAUGAUUAAGUUUGAUGAAUAUAUGUCUGGGGCAGGAAGAAGAGGUUGUUUUUUUGUUUGUUUGUUUGUUUGUUUGUUUUUUUCCCAGAUGGUGAAAAUCACUAAGUAUUACUUAGUAAAACACUAACUUGAGAUGUGAACUAGCGAACCCCCAUCUGACAGAACCGUGAAGGCCUCCCUAGCCAGUUCACAGGGCAGAGGAUGAACAAAGUUUAUCUGCCUGAGCACCUCAUCGACUACUGCAGUUCCAGUCUUGUCUCCAUUCUGCCAUCUUGCGGCCUUUCCUGUUGCUGCAUUCAGCGUUCUAAUUGUCACAAGUGCCUUCAGANUAAAUGGAAUCAUGGAGAAUGUGUGAUGGUGUUUAGCUUCCUUCACUUUGCAUGAUGCUUUGUAGAUUCAUCCACAUCACAGCAUAUAUAAGAACUUCGUUUAUUUUUAUUGGUGAAUAACAUUCCAUUGUGUAUACACACACACAAUACACACACACACACAACUGGUUUAUUCACUCAUGCAUCAGUGGAUAUCUGGACAAUUUCCAUCCAGAAUUGUGAAUCCUGCUCUUGUGAACAUGAGUAUACCUGUACUACUUGCCUGAAUACCUGUUUUCAAUUCCUGGAGAAAAUAUAUAGGAAUGAAAUUGCAUUAGCCCUGAUCAAAAACUGAAGAUGUGGAUGAAAAAAUCUGAAAAUGUAAAAUAAAAACAUUAUUUCAAUGGCAGGGAAAAAUAAGUAAUGGAUCUAAAGAAGGAACAUUUUUUUAAAAAUUCUUUUAUUUUUCAGAGACUUUGUCCACCGUAGUAGUUAAUAAAUAAGUGGACCUCAGACUGCUUAUCUUUACAAUAAGGAGAAUAUGACUUACUUCAUACAUUUGUACUAAAUAUUUAAUUGGAAAAUAGUGCUUUGUACAGUGAUAGCAAUUGUCAAAACCUCAACAAAUGUCAAUCUCUUGUUUCUUUAUUCUUGUAAAGGAAAUGGGUUUUGUUUACCAGAGAUUUCAGAAGAAUUGAAUGCAGUUCCACAACUAUAACAUUCUCUGAGGAAGGAAAUUGAGUUGAGUGGAGUGUUGAUCUAUGUGGUUGCUUAUAUACUGGUAAUGUAUAUUUUACCCCCUCUGGCUCUCUGCCCUGAUGAAUAUGGUGUUCAGUUUUUUCCUCUAGGAAGACAACUGACUCUAUUUUCAGUCUCGGGAGUUCCGCAUCACAAUGAAGAUGAUCUCAGAAUCACCUGUAAAAUAUUUGACAGAAACUAUUAAAAAGCCACAAAUAGUUUUUCUCUUUCCUAAAGCAUACAGAGUCCUUCUUUUGAAAAAGUAAUGUUAUGUAAAAAAAAUGCAAAAUCAUAUCCAAUGUGUUUUAGCUUUCAGUUCCUGUGAAUUCUUGCUCUGUUGAAAGAUUAGUGUGUCCAAAAGAAACCAUAUUGUUGUAACUUUGUCAUGUAGUAAGAAUCCCAAUUUGAGAAAAUUUUAGUUUUAAAUUAUGUGAGGAAAUUUUUAUCUGUGGCUGACUUGAUUUGGUGAGCACACUUGUUUCCACAAUAAAAUUAAUGUUAGGAUUUCAUAAAAA
Molecule: long non-coding RNA, 27395 nt
Filed under: Marmota monax (woodchuck)
Lineage: Eukaryota; Metazoa; Chordata; Mammalia; Rodentia; Sciuridae
Source: RNAcentral